UACGUAGGGUGCAAGCGUUAAUCGGAAUUACUGGGCGUAAAGCGUGCGCAGGCGGUUAGAUAAGCCAGAUGUGAAAUCCCCGGGCUCAACCUGGGAACUGCAUUUGGGACUGUUUGACUAGAGUACGGCAGAGGGAGGUGGAAUUCCACGUGUAGCAGUGAAAUGCGUAGAGAUGUGGAGGAACACCGAUGGCGAAGGCAGCCUCCUGGGCCUGUACUGACGCUCAUGCACGAAAGCGUGGGGAGCAAACAGGAUUAGAAACCCGUGUAGU
This 271-nucleotide ribosomal RNA is filed under the name uncultured bacterium. Its description in RNAcentral is "partial 16S ribosomal RNA". It matches the Rfam family "Bacterial small subunit ribosomal RNA", at positions 524 to 794 of the family's 1533-position model. The record is from RNAcentral.